RNAcentral lists this small RNA (277 nucleotides) under Sus scrofa (pig). RNAcentral describes it as "7SK RNA (ENSSSCG00070013311.1)". The record is from RNAcentral. Lineage: Eukaryota; Metazoa; Chordata; Mammalia; Artiodactyla; Suidae.
GGUGGAGCUGGGUCAUGGUGACAUCUGUCACUCCUGUCAUUGCCAGAGUUGAUCUGCUGUUCUGGCUGGCCAGGCUGGUGUGUGCCCUCCCCACCCCCCUACCCCUGCCUCAUUUCAAAACCGCACAAUUGGCCAAAGGGGUCAAACUGCAGAUAAAUAAAAACUAGCCUUCCAGUGAGAGCAUGUGUGCCCACUUAUACUACCAGUUGUGACUUUGUUAGUGGAAUUUAAAGAUGGAUAAGGAAACUAAAACAAAACCAUUGAUUAGAUUUCUGUU